Molecule: long non-coding RNA, 1210 nt
Organism: Gasterosteus aculeatus aculeatus (three-spined stickleback)
Lineage: Eukaryota; Metazoa; Chordata; Actinopteri; Perciformes; Gasterosteidae
Source: Ensembl
CCAGCCUUUCUCGCCUCGCAGGUCCCCAUAGAUCGUAGUUCCAUCUGGACCCUGAUCCUGACUGGCCCACGGACACCGCUUCUAACAUCAUUGAUAUUCCCAAUUCUGUUGCUCUAAACAUGCGCAUAACUAACUUUGUUUCUUCCAUGGAGUAUUUGUGCUUUCUCGCCACACAGGUUUCCAUGGAUUGUGGUUCUAACUAGACCCUGUUCCUGCCUCCUAUCGUGGCCCUGCUGACACCUGCUGAGGCUUCUGUGGAUGAUGGUUCUAUCUGAAGGCGGUGGUCCCUGUAGUGGUGCCUGCCGAACACCUGGUUCCUGUGCAGAGUUUUUCCUGUGCCGAUGUGAGGGUUUCGGGACAGAGGAUGUCGCAUGUGUACAGACUGUAACGCCCUCUGAGGCAAAUUUGUAAUUUGCAAUUUUGGGCUAUACAAAAUAAAAUCAAUUCAAUUCAAUUCAACGUCAUGAUAUUCACAGAAACUUCAGGAAAGCACCAUCAAGCUAGCUGGGCGCUACAUCCUUCGGGCAGACAGAUCAACCGACUACUCCUGAGGUGGCAGGUGUAUUUCUACUCAGAGAGUUUACAUCAACUGUGAUUGCAGUCUAUACAUCCCCGGACUCUAAUGGUAAACUUUCCAUGAAAGAACGGCAUGCUGCCAUUAGCAAACAACCGACUCUACAUCCGGAGGCAACUUUUAUUCUUGCGGGUGACUUCAACCGCUCAAACCUGAAGACUAUACUCCCUAAAUUAUACCAGCAGGUCUUCUGCCCCACGAGAGGAGACUUAGAUCACGUCUACAAGAACAUGGUGGAUGCUUACAAUGUCCCCCCCUCCCCCAUCUAGGAAAGUCUGACCACCUCUAAUUGUUCCUUCUCCCCAAAUACACACCUCUCAUAAGACAGAGGACAGUUAAAGUAUGGCCAGAGGGAGUAGACUGCACUACAGCUCCGGUUUGAAAACACAGACUGGAGUGUGUUUGCCACCGAGACCACACUGGACUCCCACACAGCCUUUCCUUCCUCAGUUCUGGACUAUAUCAACAUCAAUGUCAAGAGUCACCACGCUCAAAAGGGUCACCCCAUUCCCCAAUUAUGAAUUAUGAAUGAAUGCCUAAUGCAUAAGAUUUUUGACACUGCAGAUCAGGUGAUGCUCAGGCCUACAUCUCAUCCAGGGCUGACCUGAAAAGGGGCAUCAAAAAGGCCAAGCACAG